GGAAACAUCAAUAUAAUCACUACUGUGUUGUUUUUACACAGAUUAAAUUAUGUAGAAGUGCAACUUCAAAAUACAUGAUCAGCUCUAAAAGAAAAGGACAUGAAAAUUAAAGACUUGCAGGAAAGGAUUGAAGACAUGAAAAAUAACGAACAGACGCAACAUCACUUGAGAUCUUCUCAUAAGGAAAAGGAAAUUGAAGACCUCAAACAAAUAAUAAACGAGAAGGAUGAACAACUUGAUAAAUUGAUAAGGGAUCCAAGAGAAGGAAGUUGCUCAACAAAAGCAUAAACUGAGAUCUGGAAAGCAAAAGGAAAUUGAACCCUUGCUGCAAAGAGUUCAUGAGAUGGAAGCACAACUUCAAAUAUCAAGAUCUGCUCUACAAGAAAAAGAUGAACAGUUGAAAUCUUUCAAAGACAGAGUGGCAGGAGAAGUUGCUUUGUCAAUCAAAACAGGAAACACAAUGAGCCUCAACAACC
Xiphophorus hellerii (green swordtail) is the source of this 476-nucleotide long non-coding RNA. RefSeq lists it as uncharacterized. Lineage: Eukaryota; Metazoa; Chordata; Actinopteri; Cyprinodontiformes; Poeciliidae. The transcript is spliced from 10 exons. The record is from RefSeq and is a predicted model, not a curated record.